GGGAAGACUGCGGUGGUUGCGGCUCCGGGCGUGGGGGCGCGGGGACACUCCGCCCCGGGAAGGGGGGAGGGAAAGGGAGAAGGGAUGGGGGCGGGGGGAAGAGGGACAGCAGAGGAAGGAAGUGGGGGGGGGGUCUCUCGCGAGAUUUCAGCGGCGCCGGUCCCUCCGGGUGAUUUCCGCCUCUCUGUAGCGCUCGCUCUUGGGAUCAGUUAGCCGUGCCGCGCCUGUGCGGCUGCUGAGUGGCCCAGUGGAGGCGCUUGGCGGCUUCCGGCCAACCCACCCCUCUCCUCCCCCGCGCCUGUGCGGCUGCUGAGUGGCCCAGUGGAGGCGCUUGGCGGCUUCCGGCCAACCCACCCCUCUCCUCCCGCGCGAGGGGGCAACCCCAGCCUCAGCGGGAACAUCGAGCCCAAAUCAAUCGGGAGUUACACUCAAAGUCUUCCCCCGUCUUUCCACUCCGUCCGAUUUCGCUCUUCCUUUUUUCCUUUCCUCCACUCUUCCCGACCGGAAACGCCGCCUCUUCCUCUUACAGUUCCGGCCCCCCAGUCCCUCGUCUCCGGUCCGGCCUCGCGCCCUAAAGUGACGCUAAGGACCCCCUCCUCUUUUCUGGGGCCCCUCCCUCUGCACGCAGGGACACAGUUGGAGAGGUUAGGGUGGAGCCCAGGGAUGGAGAGAAAAGAAACCAAUCGGAUUGGAUAAGCAGCUGCCAAGGCAACUGGAGGCUGUAGCUGUAUUGUCAUAGUAACCAAUGUGUGCAGGCUGAAUGACCCUCCCUUGACUUAGUGGAUUCCCCGAAAAGUGCCUAGGGUUUCCCCUCGGCUUCCCUUCCAUCUUAAAGGCCUCCCCCAGGUUGGGAAUCGGGUAGUUCUCCAGAGCAGUGAGGUUCAUGUUCUCCUCCCUUUCCCUUUCCCGCAGCGAUGGGGGAGAUCCCGAGGCAUUCACCACGGGCUUUUCCACCCGCCUGCGGGCGGGAACCGCCUCCAUAGUUUUCCUCUCCAUGACGGACGCGGGGAGGGCCGGGCCUACGAAAAAGAUGCCGGGCCUGAAGGCUGGUGGGCGGUGGGCUGGAGCCGACUGNNNNNNNNNNNNNNNNNNNNNNNNNNNNNNNGGACGGGCCCCCUGUGGGAGCAGGAUACCGCACGCCGGCCGGGAUCCCUCGUCUGCCGACUGGGACAUCCGACUUUCCCCAGCGGUCGGCCCCUCACAGAAAUCCCCCAGACCCCACCCCACAAUCGCACUCGGCCACGGAGCCUCCUCGGGAGUUCCCCGCGCGGCCUUCACGAGCCAUCUCCUGCCACGAGGAGGCCGGAGUGGGGGUGGGAACUCAUCUUGGAAGGCUGACAAGUGGUUUUUCCAGCACUUAGGGCAGGGGACACGGUGCGAAGUUCAGGGCCGCCAUCCCUCGGAGAGGCACCCCUCCCGCCAGUGGGAGUCCCCCUUGCUUAUCAAAAGCAGACGUCCCAUUUCCUUUCUCCUCUUCAAAUUUCCUUCUGUCGCGUGUCUGCAGUGUUUUAGAACUCGUCACUAUGUAUCUUUUGGGUUGCAGAGGAACGCAUUGGGUAAGAUAGUGUCAAGAAAAACAGAUACUUGCGUGAAGUUCCAAUGA
Molecule: long non-coding RNA, 1603 nt
Filed under: Ovis aries (sheep)
Lineage: Eukaryota; Metazoa; Chordata; Mammalia; Artiodactyla; Bovidae
Description: lncRNA (ENSOARG00000025463.1)
Source: RNAcentral